This 233-nucleotide ribosomal RNA is filed under the name uncultured bacterium. RNAcentral describes it as "partial 16S ribosomal RNA". It matches the Rfam family "Bacterial small subunit ribosomal RNA", at positions 544 to 776 of the family's 1533-position model. The record is from RNAcentral.
UUCGGAAUUACUGGGCUUAAAGAGUUCGUAGGCGGCUUGGAAAGUGGGGUGUGAAAGCCCUCGGCCUAACCGAGGAAUUGCGCUCCAAACUACCGAGCUUGAGUAGGCUAGAGGUGAGCAGAACUGAUGGUGGAGCGGUGAAAUGCGUUGAUAUCAUCAGGAAUACCGGAGGCGAAGGCGGCUCACUGGGACCUAACUGACGCUGAGGAACGAAAGCUAGGGGAGCAAACGGG